This 335-nucleotide long non-coding RNA is filed under the name Medicago truncatula (barrel medic). RNAcentral describes it as "lncRNA gene15323". Lineage: Eukaryota; Viridiplantae; Streptophyta; Magnoliopsida; Fabales; Fabaceae. The record is from RNAcentral.
GGUAACGCAAGCCUGUGACCCAAGUGGGGGUAAUAAGCUUGUGACCCAAGUGGGGGUAAUAAAAUGAUGGAAAUUAUCGAUAAUAUCCAAUUGAGUUGGACCUAGCUCAUGCUUCACGGGGAUCGUUAUUGCACAACCUUUACCAGGUUAGUAUCGCUGGCUUAACAGAGCAGGUCUCUCCAUGAGAGUACCUUGAGAUUGUAGAGAUUGUUCAAAUCUCCGAUCUUAAGGGUGUAUUAACCGGUAGGUCUAUUAGUACAAUAUAAAGCAUGAAGACUUAACCAGGUUAAGUGUGUUCAACUCGUAUAUAUACUUCGAUAAUCAACCCUCAUUUU